GACGAACGCUGGCGGCGUGCUUAACACAUGCAAGUCGAACGGAAAGGCCCUGCUUGCAGGGUGCUCGAGUGGCGAACGGGUGAGUAACACGUGGGUGAUCUGCCCCUUACUUUGGGAUAAGCCUGGGAAACUGGGUCUAAUACUGGAUAGGACCAUGCUGUAGGUGGUGUGGUGGAAAGAUUAGUUUCGGUAAGGGAUGAGCUCGCGGCCUAUCAGCUUGUUGGUGGGGUAAUGGCCUACCAAGGCGUCGACGGGUCGCCGGCCUGAGGGGGUGGACGGCCGCAUUGGGACUGAGAUACGGCCCAGACUCCUACGGGAGGCCGCAGUGGGGAAUAUUGCACAAUGGGCGCAAGCCUGAUGCUGCGACGCCGCGUGGGGGAUGACGGCCUUCGGGUUGUAAACUCCUUUCAGCCAUGACGAAGCCCUUGUGGUGACGGUAGUGGUAGAAGAAGCACCGGCUAACUACGUG
RNAcentral lists this ribosomal RNA (469 nucleotides) under uncultured bacterium. Its description in RNAcentral is "partial 16S ribosomal RNA". It matches the Rfam family "Bacterial small subunit ribosomal RNA", at positions 28 to 507 of the family's 1533-position model. The record is from RNAcentral.